Molecule: ribosomal RNA, 494 nt
Filed under: uncultured bacterium
Lineage: Bacteria
Description: partial 16S ribosomal RNA
Rfam family: Bacterial small subunit ribosomal RNA
Source: RNAcentral
GACGAACGCUGGCGGCGUGCUUAACACAUGCAAGUCGAACGGAAAGGCCUGCUUUCCCUUGUGUAUUGCGGGUACUCGAGUGGCGAACGGGUGAGUAACACGUGAGUGAUCUGCCCCCAACUUGGGUAUAAGCCUGGGAAACUGGGUCUAAUUCCCGAUAGGACUGCAGGGUGGUGCCUGUGGUGGAAAACGAUUUUCUAGUGGUUGGGGAUGAGCUCGCGGCCUAUCAGCUUGUUGGUGGGGUAAUGGCCUACCAAGGCGGCGACGGGUAGCCGGCCUGAGAGGGUGGACGGCCACAUUGGGACUGAGAUACGGCCCAGACUCCUACGGGAGGCAGCAGUGGGGAAUAUUGCACAAUGGGCGGAAGCCUGAUGCAGCGACGCCGCGUGGGGGAUGACGGCCUUCGGGUUGUAAACUCCUUUCGACCGCGAGGAAGCCACCUGGUUGGAAGGGUGGUGACGGUAGUGGUAGAAGAAGCACCGGCUAACUACGUG